Molecule: long non-coding RNA, 475 nt
Organism: Gossypium raimondii (Peruvian cotton)
Lineage: Eukaryota; Viridiplantae; Streptophyta; Magnoliopsida; Malvales; Malvaceae
Exons: 2
Source: RefSeq, a predicted model, not a curated record
AAAACAUAUAUGGUUGGAGUUUGAAGGGUUGGAAAGUGGGAACCAAUUACGGGGCUCUCUGAACUCCGAACCUAAAAGGAAGGGGUGGUAAAAUACGGCUGCUAGUUCAUGGAUGCCCCUGGAUGCGUAGUUUAGCCAGCAUUAAACAUCGAAAGCCAGGCCGAGGAUGCGCAAGCUAAGGGUUUGCAUGAACUAGGAGACGUCAUUACCUUGAUUUUUUAGGCAUCGAUAUUCAUCAUUUGUUUACCGGGGAACUGCACUUACCUACCCACAUAACUAACCUAUCAGAAGCCAUUGGAAUAUUCUAUUGUUUUCCCCCUUCAAUUUUGCCUGUAAAAAAACUAGCUUUAUAUUUCAAAUUGAUAUCUUGAUCAAGAUUUUAAAUAAAGAGAUAUAAUGAUACAUCCACAACUACAUCUAUGAGGGGUUUACACUAAAUAAUUCCCAGGGAUGACCUUUCUAAUUAUUCUAUUCA